RNAcentral lists this ribosomal RNA (460 nucleotides) under uncultured bacterium. RNAcentral's name for it is "partial 16S ribosomal RNA". It matches the Rfam family "Bacterial small subunit ribosomal RNA", at positions 338 to 795 of the family's 1533-position model. The record is from RNAcentral.
CCUACGGGGGGCAGCAGUGAGGAAUAUUGGUCAAUGGGCGCGAGCCUGAACCAGCCAAGUAGCGUGAAGGAUGACUGCCCUACGGGUUGUAAACUUCUUUUAUAAAGGAAUAAAGUGAGGCACGUGUGCCUUUUUGUAUGUACUUUAUGAAUAAGGAUCGGCUAACUCCGUGCCAGCAGCCGCGGUAAUACGGAGGAUCCGAGCGUUAUCCGGAUUUAUUGGGUUUAAGGGGAGCGUAGAUGGGUUGUUAAGUCAGCUGUGAAAUGUCCGGGCUCAACCCGGGCCUUGCAGCGCGAACUGGCGGGCUUGAGUCCGCGGAAAGCAGGCGGAAUUCGUCGUGUAGCGGUGAAAUGCUUAGAUAUGACGAAGAACCCCGAUUGCGAAGGCAGCUUGCUGCAGCGGAACUGACGCUGAUGCUCGAAAGCGCGGGUAUCGAACAGGAUUAGAUACCCCGGUAGUC